RNAcentral lists this ribosomal RNA (259 nucleotides) under Pseudomonas helmanticensis. RNAcentral's name for it is "partial 16S ribosomal RNA". It matches the Rfam family "Bacterial small subunit ribosomal RNA", at positions 521 to 779 of the family's 1533-position model. Lineage: Bacteria; Pseudomonadati; Pseudomonadota; Gammaproteobacteria; Pseudomonadales; Pseudomonadaceae. The record is from RNAcentral.
UAAUACAGAGGGUGCAAGCGUUAAUCGGAAUUACUGGGCGUAAAGCGCGCGUAGGUGGUUCGUUAAGUUGGAUGUGAAAUCCCCGGGCUCAACCUGGGAACUGCAUUCAAAACUGUCGAGCUAGAGUAUGGUAGAGGGUGGUGGAAUUUCCUGUGUAGCGGUGAAAUGCGUAGAUAUAGGAAGGAACACCAGUGGCGAAGGCGACCACCUGGACUGAUACUGACACUGAGGUGCGAAAGCGUGGGGAGCAAACAGGAUU